Paenibacillus sp. D9 is the source of this 79-nucleotide regulatory RNA element. It matches the Rfam family "pemK RNA". Lineage: Bacteria; Bacillati; Bacillota; Bacilli; Caryophanales; Paenibacillaceae. The record is from Rfam.
AUAAUGAUACUUCCGUCUAGCCAUAGUUAUCGCAAUGGGGGCGGCUUGCAGUGAUCCUGGAAGGGGCGACAGCCUAUGA